This 120-nucleotide ribosomal RNA is filed under the name Bison bison bison. The record is from RNAcentral. Lineage: Eukaryota; Metazoa; Chordata; Mammalia; Artiodactyla; Bovidae.
GUCUCAGGCCGGAUCAGCCUGAAGGCGCCCGAUCUCGUCUGAUCUCGGAAGCUAAGCAGGGUCGGGCCUGGUUAGUAUCUUGGAUAGGAGACCACCUGGGAAUCCCGGGUGCUCGAGGCU